UCAGCUCCCUGGCAGGGGAGAUACCAUGAUCUUGAAGGUGGUUUUCCCAGGGCAGCCCUUCAGCCUCUCCCUGCCAUCCGCUCAUGUUGAGCAAAUUCUUUUUGGUAUUGGUUGGUGGAACCGGAGCGUGCUCCGUCCACU
Molecule: small nuclear RNA, 141 nt
Filed under: Crocodylus porosus (Australian saltwater crocodile)
Lineage: Eukaryota; Metazoa; Chordata; Crocodylia; Crocodylidae
Description: U1 spliceosomal RNA (ENSCPRG00005015127.1)
Source: RNAcentral